UGUCGUCAGCUCGUGUCGUGAGAUGUUCGGUUAAGUCCGGCAACGAGCGCAACCCACACUCUUAGUUGCCAGCAUUCAGUUGGGCACUCUAGGAGAACUGCCGGUGAUAAGCCGGAGGAAGGUGUGGAUGACGUCAAGUCCUCAUGGCCCUUACGGGUUGGGCUACACACGUGCUACAAUGGUGGUGACAAUGGGCUAAUCCCAAAAAGCCAUCUCAGUUCGGAUCGGGGUCUGCAACUCGACGGCAUGAAGUCGGAAUCGCUAGUAAUCGCGUAACAGCAUGACGCGGUGAAUACGUUCCCGGGA
This 306-nucleotide ribosomal RNA is filed under the name uncultured bacterium. Its description in RNAcentral is "bacterial SSU rRNA". It matches the Rfam family "Bacterial small subunit ribosomal RNA", at positions 1050 to 1378 of the family's 1533-position model. The record is from RNAcentral.